ACAAUGGGCGCAAGCCUGAUGGUGCGACGCCGCGUGGGGGAUGAAGGGCUUCGGUUCGUAAACCCCUGUCAUCUGUGAGUAAGGCUCCCAAUAAAAGCUUGGGAGAUUGAUAUCAGCAGAAGAGGAAGGGACGGCUAACUCAGUGCCAGCAGCCGCGGUAAUACUGAGGUCCCAAGCGUUGUUCGGAUUUACUGGGCGUAAAGGGUGCGUAGGCGGCUAUAAAAGUUUGGUGUGAAAUCUCCGGGCUCAACCCGGAAACUGCAUUGAAAACUAGAUAGCUAGAGGAUCGGAGAGGAGAUUGGAAUUCUCAGUGUAGCAGUGAAAUGCGUAGAUAUUGAGAGGAACACCAGUUGCGAAGGCGGAUCUCUGGACGGUUCCUGACGCUGAGGCACGAAAGCUGGGGUAGCGAAGAGGAUUAGAUACCCUCGUAGUCCCAGCCGUAAACGGUGCGCACUUGCUGUGGGCGGAUUCGACCCCGUCCGUGGCGAAGCUAACGCGAUAAGUGCGCCGCCUGGGGAGUACGGUCGCAAGAUUAAAACUCAAAGAAAUUGACGGGGGCCUGCACAAGCGGUGGAGUAUGUGGCUUAAUUCGAUGCAACGCGAAGAACCUUACCUGGCCUUGACAUGUAGUGGACCGGGUGCGAAAUCACCCUUUCCUUCGGGACUGCUACACAGGUGCUGCAUGGCUGUCGUCAGCUCGUGUCGUGAGAUGUUGGGUUAAGUCCCGCAACGAGCGCAACCCCCGUGUUCUGUUGCCACCCGGAUGAGAAUCCGGAGCACUCUGGACAGACUGCCUGGUUUCAACCAGGAGGAAGGUGGGGAUGACGUCAAGUCAGUAUGGCCCUUACGGCCAGGGCUGCACACGUACUACAAUGCCUGAUAUAAUGGGAAGCGAGACCGCGAGGUGGAGCAAAUCCUCAAAAUCAGGCCCAGUUCAGAUUGUAGGCUGCAACUCGCCUACAUGAAGGAGGAAUCGCUAGUAAUGCCGUAUCAGCUACGACGGCGUGAAUACGUUCCCAGGCCUUGUACACACCGCCCGUCACAUCAUGAAAGUCGAUUGUACCCGAAGUCGCCGCGUUAACCGCAAGGAGACAGGUGCCGAAGGUAUGGUUGGUAAUUGGGAUGAAGUCGUAACAAGGUAGCCGUAGGGGAACCUGUGGCUG
Molecule: ribosomal RNA, 1163 nt
Filed under: marine metagenome
Description: bacterial SSU rRNA
Rfam family: Bacterial small subunit ribosomal RNA
Source: RNAcentral